CGGCGAGUGAAGCGGUAACAGCUCAAAUUUGAAAUCUGGCUCCUCUGGAGUCCGAGUUGUAAUUUGUAGAAGAUGCUUUGGGUUGUGGGUUCGGCCUAAGUUCCUUGGAACAGGACGUCAUAGAGGGUGAGAAUCCCGUAUGCGGCCGAGGCCCGCGCCUAUGUAAAGCUCUUUCAACGAGUCGAGUUGUUUGGGAAUGCAGCUCAAAAUGGGUGGUAAAUUUCAUCUAAAGCUAAAUAUGGGCCAGAGACCGAUAGCGCACAAGUAGAGUGAUCGAAAGAUGAAAAGCACUUUGGAAAGAGAGUUAAACAGUACGUGAAAUUGUUGAAAGGGAAGCGCUUGCACCCAGACUUGGGCGCUGCUGAUCACCUUGCGGUCUCCGCGAGUGCACUCGACAGCGCACAGGCCAGCAUCGGUUCGGGUGGCUGGAUAAAGGCCGUAGGAACGUAGCUCCCUUCGGGGAGUGUUAUAGCCUAGGGUGCCAUGCAGCCCAGCCGGACCGAGGACCGCGCCUUCGGGCUAGGAUGCUGGCGUAAUGGGUGUAAGCGACCCGUCUUGAAACACGGACCAAGGAGUCUAACAUCUAUGCGAGUGUUUGGGUGGUAAACCCAUACGCGGAAUGAAAGUGAACGUAGGUGAGAACCCCUUUGGGGCGCAUCAUCGACCGAUCCUGA
RNAcentral lists this ribosomal RNA (674 nucleotides) under Erysiphe palczewskii. Its description in RNAcentral is "eukaryotic LSU rRNA". It matches the Rfam family "Eukaryotic large subunit ribosomal RNA", at positions 87 to 774 of the family's 3401-position model. Lineage: Eukaryota; Fungi; Ascomycota; Leotiomycetes; Helotiales; Erysiphaceae. The record is from RNAcentral.